UGCAUCGGCCGGGAAUCGAACCCGGAGCGCCCGCGUGGCAGGGGAACAUUCUACCACUGAACCAAAAGC
RNAcentral lists this transfer RNA (69 nucleotides) under Cordylochernes scorpioides. RNAcentral's name for it is "tRNA-Gly". The record is from RNAcentral. Lineage: Eukaryota; Metazoa; Arthropoda; Arachnida; Pseudoscorpiones; Chernetidae.